This 1310-nucleotide long non-coding RNA is filed under the name Macaca fascicularis (crab-eating macaque). RNAcentral's name for it is "lncRNA (ENSMFAG00000052151.1)". The record is from RNAcentral. Lineage: Eukaryota; Metazoa; Chordata; Mammalia; Primates; Cercopithecidae.
CAAAGUGCUGGGAUUACAGGCGUGAGCCACUGCACCCGGCUACCUUUACCAAGUUUUUAAGAUAUAUUUUUUUUUAUCCUGCACUAUCUCUACAUGUACCACCCACUUCCUGCCUGCAAGGUUAAUGACUAGUGUGCUUUAAAGAAACCUUAUCAAAAGAAUGCUGUGAUGCUUAUUGCACUUUUUAAAGAUUUUAUUAUCGUAUUUAUUUUGGUUUUUAUUUAGAGGCUGGGUCUUGCUCUGUGGCUCAGGCUGGAGUGCAGCAGUGUGAUCCUAGCUGACUGCAGCUUCCAACUCCUGGGCUUAAGGCAAUUCUCCUGCUCAGCCUCCGGAGUAGCUGGGACUACAGGCCCACGCCACUACACCCAGCUAUUUUUAUUUUUUUGUAGAGACAGGAUCUAACUAUGUUUCCCAGUCUGGUCUCCAACUCUUGGGCUCAAGCAGUGCUCCAGCCUUGGCCACCCAAAGUGCUGGGAUUAUAGGCAUGAGCCACAUGCCCGGCCCAUGUUGUUAUUUUAAACUCAAACAGAAAAGAAGAAUUCAAGCAUGAGAUCCCAGAACAAGAGCAUUAAAGGGAAGAAAUGAAGUUGUGAAGACAACCAAAUAUCCAGGUAAAGGCAACUGACCAGACUUGAAUACUUAUCCCAAGAAACCAGAAACUGUUUACAUGCUGAUUUCCCAUUGCUUACGAAAUCCAAGAAUCAUAGACCAUUGAGAACUGCUCUGUGCCACGCACAGUGUAAGGCUCAGUAAGUCACAGACCCCUUUCUCAAAAAAGGUAGAUGUAAACACACUCCUCUGUGUCUCCUCUAUCAUGGCGCUUAUUAGGUGAUGUUGUCAGGUACAUGCUGGCAACAUUAAGGAGGUAGGAGAUGGCAUCUUGGAAAGCUUUGGGAAUGAAAUGUGAAUUAAAUCUCAGAUGUUGAGUCAGAGCUGGCCAGAUAAUUAGGAAAAGCAUCUGGACAGGCACAGAGGUACGAAGAGUGUCCCUCUUGGCAGAAUGAAGCAACAGGCUGCCUUUUGGCGAGACUCCACUUUGACGAAGGAACUUCGAUGUGUACACAGUCGCUGGGAUCAAGUCACACGACUAUUAAUUAAAAGGAAGAUAUUCGUCAUACAAAUCUAAACUCAUUUCAUCAACUGGACAUGAAACUGAAACUUCACAACCUGCUAAAAAUGAGUUUCUUAAUACCUCUGGACCUACCUGUCUAGGAAUCAGAUGUAACCUGAGACCAGAGACUCAUUUUCUUCUAAAAUGCUUUCUGCAAAAGAUUUUUAAACAAAGAAGGGGGAAAUGUGAAAGGAAAAUA